RNAcentral lists this ribosomal RNA (246 nucleotides) under uncultured soil bacterium. Its description in RNAcentral is "partial 16S ribosomal RNA". It matches the Rfam family "Bacterial small subunit ribosomal RNA", at positions 26 to 300 of the family's 1533-position model. The record is from RNAcentral.
AGAACGAACGCUGGCGGCAUGCCUAAUACAUGCAAGUCGAACGAACACUUCGGUGUUAGUGGCGCACGGGUGCGUAACGCGUGGGAAUCUGCCCUUGGGUUCGGAAUAACAGUUGGAAACGACUGCUAAUACCGGAUGAUAUCGAAAGAUCAAAGAUUUAUCGCCCAGGGAUGAGCCCGCGUAGGAUUAGCUAGUUGGUGAGGUAAAGGCUCACCAAGGCGACGAUCCUUAGCUGGUCUGAGGAGA